UAGGGAAUCUUGCGCAAUGGGCGAAAGCCUGACGCAGCCAUGCCGCGUGAAUGAUGAAGGUCUUAGGAUUGUAAAAUUCUUUCACCGGGGAAGAUAAUGACGGUACCCGGAGAAGAAGCCCCGGCUAACUUCGUGCCAGCAGCCGCGGUAAUACGAAGGGGGCUAGCGUUGCUCGGAAUUACUGGGCGUAAAGGGCGCGUAGGCGGCCCGGUAAGUCAAAGGUGAAAUCCCUCGGCUCAACUGAGGAACUGCCUUUGAAACUGUCGGGCUUGAGGCCGGGAGGGGGUAGCGGAAUUCCCAGUGUAGCGGUGAAAUGCGUAGAUAUUGGGAGGAACACCGGUGGCGAAGGCGGCUACCUGGACCGGUUCUGACGCUGAGGCGCGAAAGCGUGGGUAGCAAA
Molecule: ribosomal RNA, 400 nt
Filed under: uncultured bacterium
Lineage: Bacteria
Description: bacterial SSU rRNA
Rfam family: Bacterial small subunit ribosomal RNA
Source: RNAcentral